UCCGAGAAUUUUCUGGACUUUUUUUCGAGCUUUUUUCCCAUUUUUCCUAGAACAAAAUCUAUUUUUUAUAGGCUCUAAAAUUCUUGUUCAUGGACACCAAAAACUUUAUCUAGAUUGAUCAACUCUCAAAAUAUCUCUAAAAGUUUUCCUUUUAUUUUUAGAAGUUUGGAAUAUUUUUCAGGGAUUUAAAAUGAUUUCAGCUUUUUCUGGAAUUAUUUUGGAACUGAAAAUGAUUUAUUUAAAAUCCUGAAAUUAAGAAAUUUCAAAAAGUCUCCAAACCCUAGACCUAUAUAUAUGCCGGCGUAGCCCUCGACGCGCUGAUUCUAGAAGUACAACCCUUUUUUCGAGCCGCCGUUCGUAGCGCCGC
RNAcentral lists this long non-coding RNA (367 nucleotides) under Sorghum bicolor (sorghum). Its description in RNAcentral is "long non-coding RNA (SBIC_LNC008246)". The record is from RNAcentral. Lineage: Eukaryota; Viridiplantae; Streptophyta; Magnoliopsida; Poales; Poaceae.